AUAUUCAAUAUCAUGAUAUUUUGUUGUACUGCAAGAAAAAAGAAAGAAAGUUAUACUUAAGGGGAUGACAAGGUUCUAGUUAUAAUAAUUUCUAUAGAUUAUGUCAUACAAAAAUUUUGAUACGGCUUCUCCUCUACAAUUCAUUGCAUAAAGAAUUUAAAAAAGAGAAACAAAAGUGAAGUAUGUAAAUUUAAAGUGGAACGCAAAGUAAGAAACCAUUACAAUUGUGUAGAAAGUUUGAAGUAGACUUUGUGAUAAGAACGUAGGAUAAUGAAUCAAAUCCUGAAUUGAUAAUUUUGGAGUAACUAAUCUCCACUCUUAUCAUCCAAGAACAAAGCACAUAAACUCUAUUCCUCUUUACACAUCACUGAUCACACAAAAGAUGAUCACGCUCUACCAUAAGACUAUCUAUACAAGGACUACUCUCUUUUUUUUCCAGAAUUGAAUCGCAAAUUAACCACGCUCCUCUUCUAUUUUCUGCCAAAUGAAUCACUGACCUUUUACAAUUUCCCCAAAUACAUUCCCAAUUGUUAAACGUAGGAUAAUGAAUCAAAUCACUGGUUUUAAAAUGGAUCAUUGCUACCACUCUCUUUACAUAGUUGUUGUUAAGUAAUCCAAUCAGUUUUGCUAGUAUAGAGAGAACUUGUUGCGUGUUAUUCAGGCUCUCA
RNAcentral lists this long non-coding RNA (668 nucleotides) under Arabidopsis lyrata. Its description in RNAcentral is "long non-coding RNA (ALYR_LNC001878)". Lineage: Eukaryota; Viridiplantae; Streptophyta; Magnoliopsida; Brassicales; Brassicaceae. The record is from RNAcentral.